UCUUACCUAAACCAAGGAGAAAGAUGCUUGUGUUAGGUCUUUAUUGGUGAAUAAUGCACUUACAUCUAGAAGUGUGAAAGCUUCUAAAACAUACAGAUUCCUCAUGGUGUCAGAGAUAAUUAUAUAUUAGAGGAAAUUAUUUUUCAUGACAAGAGUACAAUAGUGUGUUAAUGGGAGCAAAAGUGCCACUCUCUCACAGGAGAGAUCAAUGUAGAUACAAAUUGUUCUACAUUCAUUUGAAUUUUUGCUUGCUAAGAGAUGCUUCAUCAUAAGUGCUUUAAGUUAUGCUUUUCCAAAUUGUACAGGUUGAAGACACCAUUCGUGCAAGUUACAUUCUAGGACAAGGGAGUACAUGGAAGAAUUUAAGUAAUCAUUAAGCGACAGCUCUUAAGGAGCAAAAGCAUGUUAUUUCAGGAAGUAAUUCCAUAAGUUUUGUUAUGGAUGCAUACAGCCGGAAGUCGAGAAUGAAUGGCAAAACAAAGAUUGCAUCAAGUCAUAAUAUUUUGUCACCAAAAGGCAUGUUUUGUCAAUGUCCAGUAUCUCUGGAGGCCCUCAGACAAGCCUGUCCUAUGACUCGCAGCUCACCACAGACCUACUUCAACCAUGACUGAAGAGGAUGAAGACAACUUCACAUGUUGAAUCAUGUAAGUAAUUUCAGGCAUACACGGACCCUGGUCAGAUGAGAUUGGAGAUCCAGACAACGAACUGAACUGUUUGCAAUCACACAUGUGGGAGAAAAGCCCUCAAAUUCAUGGUCUAGUAGGCCCCACAGAACUCGAUUUCUGAGUUGGAGUCAAAGUCCACCCCAAUCAAUUCAAGAAGUCCAGUGUGAACUGAGGACUUGUUCCUCAGAAAUGCCUUUCACUACCCAAUUGUCUAGGAACAAAAAGAUAUGAAUUCCCCUCCUUCUCAGAUAGGCUGCUGUUACCAUUGUCAUGCAUUUGGUAAAGAUGCACAAGGCUGACGAUGGGCCAGUGGUGAGAACUGAUGGGCCAGAUAAAGUUGACUGGCGACAAGAAAUCUCAUAAAUUGCCUGUGGCCUGGGAAAACUGCUAAAUGGAAAUAGGUGUCCUGAAGACUGAGAACAAACCCAUCAUUGUGAUUCAAUGUGGGGGGAAAAGUAGCCAGGAUAAACAUGCAGAAUCUCAUAAACUUGAAUUGUUGAGAUCGCAGAGACUGAGGAUAGGUCUCACCCCUUCCUUGGACUUGGGGAUCAGGAAAUACCGAGAGUAGAAUACUUUUUUCAGAUGAAAAGAAGGAACACCUCCUCUAUAACUUCCAGAGCACACAGAGUCUGGACCUGCUGAAGAAGCAGUUACACAUGAGAGGGGUCCCUAAAAGGAAUGGGGAAAAGGCCUGAUGUAUAGUAAAGCUGAAGAUAUACCUCUCAAUUUUCAAGCCUUUUAAUGUGUGGCAAGUCACUGAAAUAUUUGACCACAGACAAAAUCUGUGUUUCACAUAUCAGUUGCACAUCAUGCCAUAUUUUAAGUUUAAAACUUGUUUUUAAAAUAUGUUCCCUCAUUUUAUAACUCAAAGCAUUUCUGAAACAGGAUAUGGAUGAGGAAGAAGGUCUCUGCCCAGAAUACUCAGGAUUUUGUUGGAGGAGCCCUAUGUGGUUUUAUCAUGGGAUUCUAAUGGAAAAGGUGGUCCCUGCAUAGGCUUACCUCAAUACAAUUAAUUCAUGCCACCUUCUAUCAAUCUACCUUGUCCAAAUACAAUUAAUUCAGGUCAAAAUCUACCUCUCUGCAUUACUUCAUAGCUAUUGCCUCUAAUGAGGUCCACUUCUGCUGCACGCCCUCUCCAUCCCCUCCAAGAAGCAGGAGAUGUUUCUGAGAGGGUACACAGCCACCCAGGAACUGUUGGUGGAGGAAGGAGGCCGCAAGGUGGCUCUUCAUAGCCUGUGAGGCUAACAGUUCAGGGCCCUAUUUCAUUCACUCACCCCAUUACGUGAAGAGUUUUGUGAUCCAGCCUGCUCCCUCCCUCCGACUCCUCUUUCAUACAGUACUUAUAGGGGAAGGGCAGAAAUAUGCAAGACCACCCCUUCUGUCUGAGGAUGGUUUCCUUCUUCCAUCACCCCUACCAGUCAGCUGCUAUUGUGUAGCACCACAAAUUAAGGCAAUAUUGUGUACGAUAUGGAAGCAAAAUCUGCUCCAGCAUGGAAUGCACUGCAUAAUGUAGCACACAUCAAAUCCCUGGCUGGAAAAAUUCUGGAAAAAACAAAAAGGAACCAAAUACUAUAAGGAAAACUUCAAAACAGUCUCCCCUCAGGAGCUAAAAAAGGAUGCCAUGUUAUAGUCUUAGGUAAGAUUCAUACCAGGUUUCUCUGUUUUUCUCUUUAGCUUCUCUUUCAUAUUUCUCAAGUGUUCUUUUGUCAACCAUUCCUGUUAAGUACCUGGGGCGUGAGGAAGGGGGAAAAAAAAGAAAAAAAUACAUUUUACAUUAAGUACAUGGCAACUAAAUUUCUAUUCAAAUGGAGUAUAUCAGCAGUUCUCAAAGUGUGGCUCGGGACCCCAAAAUGGGUCAUGACCCCCUUUUAAUGGGGUCACCAGGGCUGGCGUUAGACUUGCUAGGACCUAGGUCCGAAGCCAAAGCCCGAGCUCCACUGCCUGGAGAUGAAGCCGCAGCCUGAGGGCUUCAGGCCUAGGUGGUGGGGCACAGGUUACAGGCCCCCCUGCCUCGGGUGGCGGGGCUCGAGCGGGCUCAUGCUUUGGUCCCCCCCUCCUGGUGUCAUGUAGUAAUUUUUGUUGUCAGAAGGAGGUUGUGGUGCAAUGAAGUUUGAGAACCCCUGGAGUAUAUGAUCUGAUUACUCUGUAGAUCUGAGGUAUGGUCUGAAAAUGGUAACAAUGGAAUUUCUGCUCUCAGAAGAGCAAUUCCAUAAUUCAAAAAGUAAGGCAUGACUAUCUGUUAAGAAAGUAAAGGGCAAACAAGGCAUAAGCCUACCUACUACAUGAGCUCCACAGUUUAAAAGGUAAACAAAUGACAUUCUUAAAAUAAAAAAAUAGAAGGCUGUAUAUUACAUUUUAAAAUGCUUCAAUUUAAUAAAUUUUAAAAGAGUACAAAAUCUAAUAUAUUCGUUUCACAGACAUGACCACCCAAGGAAUGGUCUUCUUUUAGAAUGUCUUUUAAUCAAGCAAGUACUAUUUUUCAGGACUGUUUUAAAACAAGUGUUUAAAGGAAAAUAUACACAUACACAGAGACAUCCAUAGUUAGAAUAGAACAGUUACAGAAGAUUGGAUUAGUCAAAACUUCCAAUUUAUUUGUUAAAUCUUAAAACAAAUAAAUGUUAGAGACAAUAAAACCACGUACAAGAGACACAAAAUAUAAAAGGAGAAAAGGAAAAGAGGUAUCAGCAACUAAAAGCAUUAUAUUCUAAACCAAACCAGAUCAUAAGUGACUGAGUCACUGCCCAUAGAAUUACAAAAUGGUAAUCGAAAUCAGAAACCUUGGCAUAUAAGUUUACAUAAAAGAAAAAUGCUAACAGUUAGGUGAAGGCUAAAAGACAAAUAUCUUUGACCAGCGCCUUUUUAAAUUGGCAAGGAAAGGAAAGUUGCAUUUUUCCACAGAUCUUUUGCAUAUUAAAAGCCUAGAGAUAUAUAGUAUUAUACAAAGAGUAUCUAAUAACAUAUCAGUUAUGUUGCUUUUCCUUAAAGCUUCAAUCCGAUCUUUUAAUGGUAAGAAUGGGUCUGUUUAGUUUAGAAAGGAAACUAGUAAGUGGGGAAAUUAUAGCAGCAUUCAGAAUAAUUAAUGGCUGAGAGAAGGUAGAGAGCCUAUUUACUUUUUCUCAUAAUAAAAAAGGGAUAUGCAACAAAAUUUAAAAAGGCAUACUUUUUUUUAAAAAAACUACAGAACUAACUUAUGGAACUAAUUGACACAAAGUAUCGACAUAGAACUUUUAAAAAUUAACACCUAAGUGGAUAAUGAGUGCUUCCAGUGACAGAGAUUAAAAUAUACUCUUGUGGCUUAAGAGUGUGACAUCGUGCGGCAUAGUAAAAGCCAACUUCUAAAAGGCUGGCCUUAUGAAAACACUUCUCCUAUGGGAAAGUUAUUCCAGAUUUAUUCAGUACUUGUUUAAUUUUAUAUAAAGAAAACUGACAAUUUAUAAUCUGGAAUUAUUUAAAAUCAGUAUCUGGAUUUCAAUAUAUGGAUAACGAUAAUAUCAGAUGCUGAGCAUAUUCAAAUCAAAGACAAUGACUUACUAAAUUAAUAGACCUGGAGUGGUAUUUCAUUAAAAAAAAACAAACAAAAAAAACAAACCACAGAUUAAAAAAAACCAAAACACAGUCUAUGCUCACUAAAACCAAUCAUACUAUUUACUUCCCAUGCGUUAUAAUUCACAAUAUUAAAGACUGUAAUAGUUUAAAGAAAUCUUAUUUUUAAAAAUUACGUACAUUAUUUGUCCUCCAAUGGUUGAUUUACCAGCAUCUAACAAACAUACAAAACAAAGAUACUUUAAAGUCAUUCCGUCUUAAGUAUUAAAAAAAAAUAAAAUAAAAUAAAA
Long non-coding RNA from Chelonia mydas (Green sea turtle), 4498 nucleotides. RefSeq lists it as uncharacterized. Lineage: Eukaryota; Metazoa; Chordata; Testudines; Cheloniidae. The transcript has 2 exons. The record is from RefSeq and is a predicted model, not a curated record.